Molecule: ribosomal RNA, 484 nt
Filed under: uncultured bacterium
Lineage: Bacteria
Description: partial 16S ribosomal RNA
Rfam family: Bacterial small subunit ribosomal RNA
Source: RNAcentral
AGUGAACGCUGGCGGCGUGCUUAACACAUGCAAGUCGAACGAGAACGGGUUAUAGCUUGCUAUAAUUGUCAGCUAAGUGGCGCACGGGUGAGUAAUGUAUAGGUAAUAUGCCUCUUACUAAGGGAUAACAAAUGGAAACGUUUGCUAAUACCUUAUACUCCUUAUUCACUUAAGUUAAUAAUGUAAAGAUUUAUUGGUAAGAGAUUAGCCUGUAUUGUAUCAGUUAGUUGGUGGGGUAAUGGCUUACCAAGACUAUGACACAUAACUGGUUUGAGAGGAUGAUCAGUCACACUGGAACUGAGACACGGUCCAGACUCGUACGGGAGGCAGCAGUGGGGAAUAUUGCAAAAUGGACGAAAGUCUGAUGCAGCAACGCCGCGUGGAGGAUGACACAUUUCGGUGCGUAAACUCCUUUUAUAUGAGAAGAUAAUGACGGUAUUAUAUGAAUAAGCACCGGCUAACUCCGUGCCAGCAGCCGCGGUAA